Molecule: small RNA, 2556 nt
Filed under: Cryptococcus neoformans H99
Lineage: Eukaryota; Fungi; Basidiomycota; Tremellomycetes; Tremellales; Cryptococcaceae
Description: Cryptococcus neoformans var. grubii H99 hypothetical RNA
Source: RNAcentral
GGAAAACUUACACUACUCUCUCCGUCGUCCUCCUACUUUACCAUUUUAUGGUCUACAGCGCAUGCGGUGAACCCUCAAAUGCAAACUGCGGACUCCUCGUCUUGUCAUUCACCCUGAUCAUCAUGUCAGCCAUGCCCGAUCCUAGCGCUCGGAUAGCAAGACUUACUCAAUGAUGACCCUUCCAACCUCUUUUUCCUGCGGUGGUUCGUACCCGAAGCUCAUUGGAUCUGCUCUUCUCGCAUCCCGCGGUAAUCUCUCCAAGAUUCUCACCGUUGUCGUUUCUCCCACCGCUCUUAAUGGCGGAACACCCCAAAGUUCCAGCUCUCUUGCAUCAAAGUGUAACCACGUCGGCAAACUUCCGCCACCUUCAACUUCUGCACGGUAAGUUGAUGGAGGGUUGGAUGACCAGGUCGCGGCUGAAAGAGAUACGGUCGGAGGCGGGUGAAUGGCGGGGUGCAUGGAGAAUGUUUCGUUGGAUGCGGCGUAAACUCGUCCGUCGUUUGCCCCGGUACUGACUCCAGCGUUGCUGCCCGAAACUAAUCGAGCCGAUCCCUGGGAACCAGAGGUGGAGCUAGCAGUGUUGGUACGACGAUGGCGGAUAAAAGAGCUUGCUUGAGGUAAGGAUGGUGAGAGAGGGUUCUCACGGAAGGGCACGGCACGAAUAGUAGACGCUCGAGCGGUAGAUUCUGAAGGGACAUUAGAGCUACGCUGAGAUGUGUAGCCUUUGCCGUCUUCCAGUUCUGCGCCCAGUCCUUCGAUAUGAGGUUGGGGAGAGCCAAAGUAGAUGACAGAAUUGGGGUAACCGAGACCAGUGUUGGUGGCAAUCAUAGAACGACGAGACGCCUCCUCUGCAUCAUCAAACAUCCCGCUCGUGGCCUGGCUAUCACGAGUAGCUCGAUCAGUGAUUAGGAUGCGAGGACUGUCCUGGCGGUUGUCAAAGCUAGUUCGAUGAGCUGUGGACACGACAGCUGGCUCUUCGCUUUCAGCCUCUGUAUCACUUGACUUGAAUCCGGUACUCUCCCCAAUUCGGCUCAAUGUGCUCCUACCAAAUCCCAAAGAACCCGAGCCAGAGCGAGAGUGCAUCUGUGACUGAGUGUGAAAGACUGAACCGGUACCCAUCAUCGAGUUUUCAUCAAAGCCGGAGGUGACGUCAAAGUUGGAACCACUCUGGAAAGAGUCUCGAAUGCCGUCAUAAGAAGAAUCAAAUUCGCUAAAUGAAUCAUGAGAACUGGCAUCAUCACCCGUCAAGCGAGCGAGAAUAGCAGGAGAUUGGUGGCGGGGAUACUUGGGAGUGAAGUCGGCUCGAGGACGGGGAAUACUGUCCGCUGUUGGCAUUCUAACGUUGCCUACUACCGCACCCAAGGAUGCUCUUUCAACAUCUUCACCUUGUGAUCCAAAUCUUCUUGAUCCUUCACCUGUACCUUCACCGGAAGACCAUUGGAAAGUUGACUUGCUUUGCCAACUUGCUCUUGAGCUAGUAGACAUCAUAGAUCUGGUGUCAGAGCUCAUAUCUGCCCUUGAUUCAUCAAUGGGAUCUUCCGUGGCGAUGACGUCUGGGUAACCAACAAAGUCCUGAGAGAAAUCAGGGUUCUGGGCCAGGUGCUCUUCACCAUUUUCGUCCCAAUGGAUGAUACCCUUCAUUCCGUCCAUACGGUGAGGCUUCUCGACGGCAGUGGCAUUGCUACUGAGCGAGGCCGGGCUUCUAUUAGUGACAGCCGUAGUGUCAGAGUAGCCGAUGGUGCUGACAGGAGCACCUUGAGUAUGAGCAAGACCGUAGCUUCUACGGAAGGGGUCGCCCAAGUCAGGAGCCGAUGCACGAGGCCCUUUCUCAUCUUCCUCCUCGUUCUUAUUAUUUCGACGGCGGCGACAACAGAAGAACCAGAGAAGCGCAAGAAGGAUGAGCAGCCCCAGGAUACCAAAAACGACACCGAGCGCAAUUUUACCGCCUGUGGAGAGACCGCCGUGAUGAGGAGUGUUCGAGCCGGUGGAAGUAGGAACAGCGGCCGUACCAGUGGAUUCGGACGUGUCAGAGAUACCAGUAAUGUUGGCACUGAGGGUAGUUGUAGCCGCAAGCUUGCCAACUACGGCCUCAAAGACAACUGACACUUGAUUGUACUUUGGACUGGUGGGCGCGGUGCCUUCCAGGGUCAAGUUUUCCGUGUGAAAAAUCAACCAGCUGGCAGCGUCCGUAGGUGUGACGGUGGCGUUGAUGUCGGCUGAACUGUUUGUACGGUACGGCGAAAUAUCGAAAGAAAUUUCUUUUGAAGGUGAAAUGGUGAUAUUUGGAAGGUUGUACGUGGAAAAGAAGUAAGGUGCGAUAUCGACGGAGAUCCAAGCUAUCACUGAGAGGGUGUUGGACGAGUUGCUUGACGCGAUGUUCAGGGGAAUCGAAAGAGGGGUGGUUGUACCAUUUUGAUAAGAGUCGGGGACGGUACCAGACAACACAUUGGCGUCGCUAUAUACCUAUUAGACGCGUACAAAAUAACUAUAAGAUACUCACCUGUUAAAGGAUAGCCAAUCGUAUUCAUCACUAGCCAUCGUGAUAUACAAUUCAUC